GCAGCAGUCCCCAACAACUGUGCGCCACACCCCUCCUAACCCAAGCCACCCGUGCUCAACCCUGCUGCUGGGCAAGAACCUAAAUCAGCAGUGGAGGAAGAGAAGCCCUGUGUUGGUAUAGUACAUCGCUUUGUGACCGAGACCUGGGAAAGGAAAUGAGAAGAAUGGAAGACGGAUACUAAUGGCCUGACCCAGCCUUGGGUUACAUAAAGGAACCCCCUAUUGGAAAGUGUCUGGAACCACGCAGGCACUCCAAGAGCCUGUAAGGUCCCACUGAUUCAUCAAGCCCAAUGACUCCGUGAGCCUACCCAAGACUCCAAAAGACGCGCUGAAUGUGGGGAGCAGAAUGGAGGAACAACACUUCUCAACAAAAUAAAUAAAAUCAAUGUAACAAUGCCA
Ornithorhynchus anatinus (platypus) is the source of this 399-nucleotide long non-coding RNA. RefSeq lists it as uncharacterized. Lineage: Eukaryota; Metazoa; Chordata; Mammalia; Monotremata; Ornithorhynchidae. The record is from RefSeq and is a predicted model, not a curated record. The transcript is spliced from 2 exons.